GCCGGGGUAGCUCAGUUGGUAAGAGCGCCAGACUCAUAAUCUGGAGGUCGCGGAUUCGAUCUCCGCCCCCGGCACCA
This 77-nucleotide transfer RNA is filed under the name Hadesarchaea archaeon. Its description in RNAcentral is "tRNA-Met". It matches the Rfam family "tRNA". From Rfam's summary of the family: Transfer RNA (tRNA) molecules are approximately 80 nucleotides in length. The record is from RNAcentral. Lineage: Archaea; Methanobacteriati; Hadarchaeota (SeqCode); Hadarchaeia (SeqCode).